AGAAAACAGCAGCUUACUUUACAGCAAAGCCACACUAUGAACAAAAAUACUGAGUGAACCACAGUCCGUGACUGCUGGAGUGUCCGUGAGUCCUGAAAUCGAGAGCACAGGCAUUUCUUGUGUCCAUACCUGAUUGCACCGCGGUUCCAGGAGCAGUUCGCUACAGUUCCUGUCUCCGCUGGUGCGCCGUCCCUGAGCCCCGCAGGAGCGCGGCCUUCUCAGCAGCUACUGCCCCUUUCCGUGGGGCGGGGGCACGAGGCCGCGAGCACAGACGCCUGGCAGAGUCACACAACGGCACACACGAAAUGGCAGAGAAAGAGCAAGAGUGGAAAAGAUUCUGGUUUGGGCCCAAAUCACUAGUCGCUUCACUUCGUGAAUGAAAGCAAAUGCCUUAGAAGCUUACAGUAUUUACAGUGCUCGGAUUGUUCAAACAUCCACCCAAAGCCGAGGACCACCACGCAACAGGGAACAAUUCAGUGAACUAUGUACAGAAUUUACAAGGAACUUUACAUAAUAUUCCACAUUCCGUCAGAAGUUUACCUUUGCUUUCAGGAAACUGAGAUGUGUAUUCGUUUUUCUGUCUUUCUCAUCCCAGUAAUUGCUGAUUGAACCAACACGAACAAAUGCUGCCACCUUCCUCUUUCCUCCCUCCUGGGAUCUAGGGUUACACUUUGUUUAGGAAAAAAAAGGGAGGGGGGCACAUCACCCUUUGGUGAGAUACUAUUCAAAAUUGUCCAUAUAAGAAAUCUCGGAGGUCGUUUCCUUCUAGCAUUAUAAAUAUAUUUUGUUUGUUUAACUUGGCGAAUUUCAGUUGAGUUCUUUCAUAAAUGAAUAUUUAUAAAGGAGUCAUUGAUUUUGGAAAGAUGGAAUUUAGUCAACAUUUCUGUGUAUUGUACGUAAUGUUUGUUUAAGGAAAGCCUAUCCUUGGAUCUAUAAACCAAACUUUAUUCUCUGCACCACGUUUUUCUCUUUGCAUUUUCAAGAUCUUUCAUUGCUUGUAAUGCACAAUAAAGAUGGCACAUAUGAUAUGAGAACA
RNAcentral lists this long non-coding RNA (1036 nucleotides) under Ursus maritimus (polar bear). RNAcentral describes it as "lncRNA (ENSUMAG00000001970.1)". The record is from RNAcentral. Lineage: Eukaryota; Metazoa; Chordata; Mammalia; Carnivora; Ursidae.